AGUCGAGCGAUCGAUGGGAGCUUGCUCCCUGAGAUUAGCAGCGGACGGGUGAGUAACACGUGGGCAACCUGCCUAUAAGACUGGGAUAACUUCGGGAAACCGGAGCUAAUACCGGAUACGUUCUUUUCUCGCAUGAGAGAAGGUGGAAAGACGGUUUCGGCUGUCACUUAUAGAUGGGCCCGCGGCGCAUUAGCUAGUUGGUGAGGUAAUGGCUCACCAAGGCGACGAUGCGUAGCCGACCUGAGAGGGUGAUCGGCCACACUGGGACUGAGACACGGCCCAGACUCCUACGGGAGGCAGCAGUAGGGAAUCUUCCGCAAUGGACGAAAGUCUGACGGAGCAACGCCGCGUGAACGAAGAAGGCCUUCGGGUCGUAAAGUUCUGUUGUUAGGGAAGAACAAGUACCAGAGUAACUGCUGGUACCUUGACGGUACCUAACCAGAAAGCCACGGCUAACUACGUGCCAGCAGCCGCGGUAAUACGUAGGUGGCAAGCGUUGUCCGGAAUUAUUGGGCGUAAAGCGCGCGCAGGUGGUUCUUUAAGUCUGAUGUGAAAGCCCACGGCUCAACCGUGGAGGGUCAUUGGAAACUGGGGAACUUGAGUGCAGAAGAGGAAAGUGGAAUUCCAAGUGUAGCGGUGAAAUGCGUAGAGAUUUGGAGGAACACCAGUGGCGAAGGCGACUUUCUGGUCUGUAACUGACACUGACGCGCGAAAGCGUGGGGAGCA
This 726-nucleotide ribosomal RNA is filed under the name uncultured bacterium. RNAcentral describes it as "bacterial SSU rRNA". It matches the Rfam family "Bacterial small subunit ribosomal RNA", at positions 60 to 770 of the family's 1533-position model. The record is from RNAcentral.